GGAGAGAUGGCUGAGUGGUCGAAAGCGCUCCCCUGCUAAGGGAGUAAGGGCUAAUACCCCUUCGAGGGUUCGUGGGCCCUCUAUAGAGGGUCCAAAUGUUAAUGUAGAUAGUCAGAGGUCGAACCCUCGAAAUAAACAACAGGGUUCGACAAAUCGGCGGAGCCGAUUUGGACGCACGACGUGCGCCCGAAGGGUGAGCGAGUGGAGCGAGCGAAUCAAUCCCUCUCUCUCCGCCA
This 236-nucleotide transfer RNA is filed under the name Gammaproteobacteria bacterium. RNAcentral describes it as "tRNA-Ser". The stretch from base 7 to 82 matches the Rfam family "tRNA", at positions 7 to 64 of the family's 71-position model. The record is from RNAcentral. Lineage: Bacteria; Pseudomonadati; Pseudomonadota; Gammaproteobacteria.